Molecule: ribosomal RNA, 253 nt
Filed under: uncultured bacterium
Lineage: Bacteria
Description: partial 16S ribosomal RNA
Rfam family: Bacterial small subunit ribosomal RNA
Source: RNAcentral
UACAGAGGUGGCAAGCGUUGUUCGGAAUUACUGGGCGUAAAGCGUGCGCAGGCGGUUAUGUAAGACAGGUGGGAAAUCCCCGGGCUUAACCUGGGAACUGCAUUUGUGACUGCAUAGCUAGAGUACGGUAGAGGGGGAUGGAAUUCCGCGUGUAGCAGUGAAAUGCGUAGAUAUGCGGAGGAACACCGAUGGCGAAGGCAAUCCCCUGGACCUGUACUGACGCUCAUGCACGAAAGCGUGGGGAGCAAACAGG